This is a long non-coding RNA of Toxorhynchites rutilus septentrionalis, 1599 nucleotides long. RefSeq lists it as uncharacterized. The record is from RefSeq and is a predicted model, not a curated record. The transcript is spliced from 3 exons. Lineage: Eukaryota; Metazoa; Arthropoda; Insecta; Diptera; Culicidae.
GAUUGCAGUAGUGAUAGUGAUUGUAUCGAAUCCUCGAUUCGAUUUCUAUAAUAGGGCCCAAUAUAUGUAAUUUGCAACACAUGUUCGUUUGUUUUGAUCAGCAUUUGUUUUGCACCGUAAAUAGUCUAUAGAAGCGCAUAUUUCAGUGGCUGAAAAUGAGUGGCCGAAGAAAAAAAACCAAAUCACCACCAGUUUAAACGGCUCGUUGAACCAAUGGAAGCGAGGUUUUUGUGGAUGCAGUUCUAAUUUAAUCCCGGUGUAGGAAAAGUUAGAGGAAUUCAGAGAGGAGCUCAAUGCACUGAGACCACCAAUGCAUCUUGGUUCAGGAUGGUAGAAAGUUUCAAUUGACAUGAGGGAAAAGGUAAAGAAAACACUAGCACACAACAAGCGAUAAUUUAGAGCAACAGGUGGUGGCCCCAAUACAAUAAAUCUAUUGACGCCGCUACAACAAGAAAUUGACGCUAAAAGAGAAUUACAUAUUGCAUUACAUGAAUAACAAAAAUUGUUUUGCUAAAAAAAGGGAAAUUCGUGCAUGACUCUUUACGGAAUUCCAUAGAUUGCAAUCAUCAAAAAACAUGAAAAAGUUCAUUUUCUAAUUAUAUUUUUUGUAAAGCAAAUUGUUCCACGCUGUCGUUUUUAUUACACAUGCAUGCGUGCCUUACGCCUAUUAAGCUUUAUUCUUUGAGGGAAUAUCAAUUUACUACAAAACAUAACCAUAUUAACACUUUUGGCAAUACUUUUUUUAUAGCUGAUGCCUCAGAAAAAGAAUUGGCAUCCUUUCUAUAGUGCUUCGUGAAACAUUACAAACUCGUUUCAAAAUAUUUCAUCACAACCGCUGACAUUCGAGCUUGCUAACGAAUCGAGCAGUUUUCCUCGAUUUCUAUAAUUCCAGAUUUUACUCGGUGUGAUAGUGAUUGUAUCGAAUCCUCGAUUCGAUUUCUAUAAUAGGGCCCAUAGUCCUAUUAAUCGUAUGAUGAGCCUCUGUAACGAACACAGUGAAAUAAUUGAUGUAACCAUGUCAAGGUCAAUGCUCAAAGACUAUCUGAAUAGAAUAAGAUAUAGUUAAAUUUCACUGUAUUAUUUGGGCAGCAUAUUUAGUCUACGCUGGUUUGACGAAAUAAAUUAAUUCAAAAUAAUUUGAUUAUGUUAUUAAAAUCGUCUUUUGAAUUAAACGGAUAAAUUAUCCAGCUAGCUCUCUUUAGUUUUUUUUUGUUUUAAGUAGUAUUAAGAAUGUAUCGGUCUACAAUUUUGAUUGACGACAAUAAAUAAAUGAAUGACUCAUUGAGUCUAAUUAAAUAAUGGGGGUAGAAAACUGUGAUUCAUGAACAGAAUGUGUAGAAAGUACCAUAUCUUGUACAUUACCUUAUUUACACGUUAGUCGGAUGCUCAGAAAGAUCAGGACUAUAGUCCUCAGCCCUAUUCUGUAUUCCGACGGAUUUCCAUUUCGUUCGAAACCGUUAUUUCGCUCAAGUUAUAAUUUAGCAUUCCCUAUUUCGAACGUUUUGCCCAUUUAACGCUCGAUGAGAAACAGAUCGAAUGAAAUGCAAAAACUCGAACGGAAUACAGAAUGACAUUUUAUCAAGCCGUUCGAAAUAUUUC